CUGUGUCUUACAGGGGACCUCAGGUGCGUGCGCCUGACUCUGGUGCCUGGAGUGCCAAUGGCCGGUCACAGCCCCGACAUCCUGUCCGGCUUCCUGGGGGGACCCACAUUAACUGGGCUCCAGAGCCUGACACAUUGACCUGAGGACGACGUGGUCACGCAAGGGCAGGCUCUUUGUAGGUAAACGUGCUAGAGGAGAUGAGGUCAGCAGGUGGUGAUUUAGGUGGCUGGAGUUAGAGAGCGUGAAACUAACUGGCGUGGGCCGCAGGAGAGACCCUCGGACACAGUGCCCUGCAGGAGGCCGGCGCCCACCAGCCCCGCCAGCUUCUGCGGCUUGGGGCUUUGUUUUGCUCUCGUCUGGUCAACAGGUGCCUCUACCUGGCCUCCUCUCAGCCAUCCUGAGCUCUUUUGAAGUCACCAUCAUGUGUCCACCUUCCUGGUCUUCCAUCGAAGCACUCUGGUGGGAGCACGGGGUGUCUCCACUCUGCAGGGGUGCCAGAGCUCGAGGUCGAAGCAGGCGGGGCCCAUGCCGGCCGUGUGUGAGCUGGAGGAGGGCGUCCGUCUUCCUUCCCGCUCAAUCUCGUCAACCCCCAGAGCAGGGUGGGCGAAAGACUUGCAGGGUUCUGUGACAUUCUGUGAUUGACUGGGCGCAGUCAAGGCCCACUGCUCCUUUCGCCAUCUGCCUGUCUCGUGAAGAACAAGGGUUCCGUCAGAGGGUGGACACUGGUGGCCAGGAGAGACCGGGAGGAGGAUGGCGCUUCCGGAUGGCCGCUGGCUCAUGGCACUGGA
This is a long non-coding RNA of Condylura cristata (star-nosed mole), 788 nucleotides long. RefSeq lists it as uncharacterized. The transcript is spliced from 3 exons. Lineage: Eukaryota; Metazoa; Chordata; Mammalia; Eulipotyphla; Talpidae. The record is from RefSeq and is a predicted model, not a curated record.